This 1277-nucleotide ribosomal RNA is filed under the name Crioceris duodecimpunctata (spotted asparagus beetle). RNAcentral describes it as "l-rRNA". The stretch from base 1036 to 1194 matches the Rfam family "Archaeal large subunit ribosomal RNA", at positions 2544 to 2703 of the family's 2987-position model. The record is from RNAcentral. Lineage: Eukaryota; Metazoa; Arthropoda; Insecta; Coleoptera; Chrysomelidae.
AAUUAAUAAAUUAUUAAUAAUUUUAUUUAAAAAUUUAUUAAAAUAAAUAAAUUAUAGUUUAAUUAUUUUUUAAGAAAAAAUUUUUUUUAUAAUAGUUUAUUAGUAUUGUGAAAGAAUUAAAAUUUUAUAAUAAAGAAAAAUUAAUUUUUUGUACCUUGUGUAUCAGGGUUAAUCAAAAUGAAUUAAUUAUUUAAUUUUCUCGAAUUUAAAAGAGCUAAUAAAUUAUUUUUUUAAUUAUUUUAUAAAUUUUAUUAAUAAUUUAUUAGUAAUGAAAUGCCAUUCGUUUUUAAAUAUAUCUAGUUCUUUAUAUUAAAUUUACCUUUUUUUAAUAAAAAAUAUACUAUUAUUUUAUUAAUUUUAUAUUUUUAUUGGUUAAUAUUAUAAGGGAUAAGCUUUAUAAUUUAUCUUUAAAAAUUUAUUGAAUAGAUUAAUUUAUAGGAUUGAAAAUUUCCAUUAUUAUUAAUUUGUUAUAAUUAUUUUAUUAAUAAUUUUAUUUAUAUAAAUUUUAAAUUUUUUAUUAAAAUAUUAAUAUUAAUAAUUAUUAUUAAGUAAUAAUGAUUAAAUUAGUAAAAUAUAUUUUAUAAAUAUUUUUAUCUUUAAGAUUAUUUUAAGGAAUUCGGCAAAAGUUUUUCCGCCUGUUUAUUAAAAACAUGUCCUUUUGAAUUUAAUUUAAGGUCUUACCUGCCCCCUGAGGUAUUAAAUGGCCGCGGUAUUUUGACCGUGCUAAGGUAGCAUAAUCAAUAGUUUUUUAAUUGAAAGCUAGAAUGAAAGGUUUGACGAGAAAAAAUCUGUCUCAAUUUAAUAAUUUGAAUUUUAUUUUUAAGUUAAAAAGCUUAAAUUUAUUUAAAAGACGAGAAGACCCUAUAGAGUUUAAUAAAUUUAUUAUAUUUAAUUUUUUUAGUAUUUUUUAUAUUUAAUAUAAUAAUUUAUUUAAUUGGGGUGAUUUAAAAAUUAAUAAAACUUUUUAAAUUUUUUUUCAUUAAUUUAUGUAUAUAUGAUCCUUUAAUUAUGAUUAUUAGAUGAAAUUACCUUAGGGAUAACAGCGUAAUUUUUUUUGAGAGUUCUUAUUGAAAAAAGAGAUUGCGACCUCGAUGUUGGAUUAAAAUUAAUUUUUGGUGUAGAAGCUAAAAUAUUAGGUCUGUUCGACCUUUAAAAUUUUACAUGAUCUGAGUUUAAACCGGUGUAAGCCAGGUUGGUUUCUAUCUUUAAAUUUAAUUAAUAAUUUAGUACGAAAGGACCAAUUAUUAAAUUAAUAAUUUAGUUUAUAGAAUAUUAGU